AUCCCAGCUACUAUGAAAACACCUGCCCAGCUGCGCCGGGGGCGCCCACACGGCCCAGGCCUGGAGCUCCAGGCCCAGCACUCACGGCUCCGCACACCCCAAGGACCAGGGAGCGCUGCGCCCUCACACCCACUCCCCUGGGAAAGAGCGCAGUGUCCGUAAGGCCGUGAAGCUCAGGCCCUGGCCCAGCCCCGGGCCCAGCCCCCUCCCUCCGCACCCCUCCUCCUCGGCCGCGGGCCGGGAGGAGGGGGUCGGGAGCGCGGCUCCGAGGAUCAGGUGCCGGGUUCCCCUCUCCGCUCCUGUCAAUCAGAGGCCGAGGCAGUAGUCCUGUCGUACACCGGGGCGGGCCUCCACGUGACGGGAAGCGGCGGCGGGGCCCGGACGGAGCCCCUGGGGGAGCUGCGGAGCCAACCCGGAGCCGGGGCCGGGCGGGGCCCAGCAGUCCCGGGCCUUGGCAGCUGCCAGAGCGUGCGGGAGGCUGGGCGGGCGGCGGAACGCGGCUCGGUGCGGCGCGGACCGAGGAGGCCUAGGGUGGGCGAGCGCCGGGAGCUUUCCAGAAACAUGGACAGAAGGCUUAGUUUUCAGGCACCUGUACUUAUCAACAUUGCAGCCAGAACUUAGACUCACCUGUAUGAAAUCUCCUUUCGCUGCACUUGUCCACAAAGUUGACCAGGGCCUGUGGAUUACCUGCAGCCCACAAGGAUUCCAUGUAGUCAUUAUUAAUGUUAGUUUUGUAGGUUGAAAUUUAACUGAGUGCAGGGUUGAUCACUUUUGAAAUUACUGCACUGUGACAGAUUUCAUCUGUUUGUUUCUGGGGAAGUCAUGAUGUUAGCAUUAUUGUAUCUGGCAGAUUAAAGCACUGAUAAAUCGUGUGUGAGCAUAGUAGUACUAUAAUGUGAGAUGUUUUAUUUGUAGGUCAGAAUUGAUGUCUGAGAACUGGCCCUGAGCCCAAAUGAAGCCUAAAGUUGGUGCCCAUUACUCUUUUGUAGUUUUUGUGCUUCCUCUUUCAUAGUUAGACCAAAGUAUGAAGACAUCAGAGUUUUACUACAAAACAAGGGGGAAAAAACAUUUGGACAGUUUUUGUCCUUUUCUGCUUGCUGAGUCUACUUCCUUUGCCUCUUCUCUCCAAAACACCCAUUGAAGCCAGUCCUUUUUGGCUCAGCAUUUUUUUUUUUUAAGCAGCUGCAGUGGUGUGGAAAGAUCAUUGGUUUAGGAAGUCAGAGACUUGGGUUUUAACACUGAUUCUUAGACUAAAACAGUGACCUUGGAAAAACAAUCAGUUUAUCUUUGGGCCUCUUUUAAUUAUCUUUAAAGUUAGGAAAUUGAGCUGGAAGACCUCUAGGUUUUCUUCCAGUACAAGACUUCUUCAUUUCUGUGUGCUUUGAGUGCUAUCUUUGACAGUACGUGAUCUAUAUUUCUGAAUAAGUUCGCUUGUGGAUCCUCUCACCUAAUUUCUGUUUAGGCAAUGGUAAGUUUGAAUAGAAAUCAUAACAACAUGCUUAGCUUUCAUUCAUUCUUCUGUGUCAUUUUCAGUCAUGGAUUUAUUUCUAAGAUAGUUUUAAUCCAACUUUAAGAUAAUGUGAUGAUCAGAGAUCAUCUAAUUCAACCUCUCAUUCUAGGC
Molecule: long non-coding RNA, 1621 nt
Organism: Phascolarctos cinereus (koala)
Lineage: Eukaryota; Metazoa; Chordata; Mammalia; Diprotodontia; Phascolarctidae
Source: Ensembl